This is a long non-coding RNA of Diceros bicornis minor, 1307 nucleotides long. RefSeq lists it as uncharacterized. The record is from RefSeq and is a predicted model, not a curated record. The transcript is spliced from 5 exons. NCBI's taxonomy places the organism in Eukaryota, Metazoa, Chordata, Mammalia, Perissodactyla, Rhinocerotidae.
CUGGGAGCGCGGCCUCGGAGUGAAGACUUGAAGAACAUCCAUCACGUUGGACAACUCUUUUCGUGGAAACCUCAGCAAUAGCCACAGAGAAUGCUGAAAUCCAGCGCACCAAGCAGAUUUUCCACGAGGCGACAAGACGGGGCCGGGAGGAGUGAAACAGCUUUCAAUGGUAAUCAGUGAAGAGAAUUCAUGCUUGGGUGAUUACCUGGUGUACUUUCAUCAACUCAACGGAGACCAAAGGGGCUGAAUGGAUCUCAGAUAUUUACCGAACCAACUGAGGUGCUCGGAUCCACUUCUUUUUCUUCAUUUGGUGGAAGGAUAUCUAAUAAUAAUAAAAGUGGCAAGGGGGAGCCCUGCUGAGAUAUCCGUGUUGUGUGGGUGUGGACCUAUGGAACAAUACGCACGGAAUUGAGGAAGCUCGGGGAGCUGUCUGAGCAGGCACAGAGAGAGAAUGUUUUACAGGAAAAGAAAAAGAGGUACAAACUGAGAGGCAGAUCGGAUACCUUGUGUGAAACCACCAGCACAUUUGGGCAAUGGAAGAGACGCAGCGUAGGCUGUGGCUGAGGCCCAUCCUUUACUUCCUCGGCACCUGACACUCCUGUCAGAUAUCACUGAUAAAUGCAGGUGAGGUGGAUGAUCUCGCUUUUCAAGCUGACUGAUGUUUCUUAAAGAAACUUAUGACCCAUAUCUUGGCCUGGUUAUUGGCAACCAGGAAAGUUUCCUUUCCAUAGGAAUAUGUGAAUCUUCAGGUCUCGGUUGUCUGGUUCAUUAGAUCUUCUGACAUCCAAGCAAAGGAACCAGACGGCACAGGACUGUGGAGCAGCAGCUGACCCAACACAAGGAGCACUGGUGUGCACCCGGCCCUGCCUCAUCACACACCCACUUGAAUCAGGUCACUUAACCUCGCCAAGUCUCACUAACCCCACCUGCAAAAGCGAGCACACACUUUGUGCCUUGGAGGAAGGGCAUGCAAACAGAAGAGAAAUCCUCAUACAGAAUCUGAAACAAGCACGCCAACUACACAAUGUAUUGUUCUGUCCCCUGUGCCCUUAGGCUUCCAAGUAAGAGUCUUUUUUGUCCAUUUGAGUAAUGGAAAUACCUUUCAUGGGCGUUGAAAUAUGUUUAUUAAAUCAUUUCUAUUUAUUUUCUCCUAAAUGUCACACUCACCACUGUCACAGUCAUAAUUAAUUAUAACUGCAAUUAAAACAUAGACUAACAUUGUCAGCCUGAAAAUGUAACCGGCAAACAGCCAUUGAUGAUUAAGCAGCUGGUAACUAUGGGGGAUUGGAAUUUGAGAACUCAAAAUA